UACGUAGGUGGCAAGCGUUGUCCGGAUUUAUUGGGCUUAAAGGGUGCGUAGGCGGCUUUGUAAGUCAGUGGUGAAAUAUGGCAGCUCAACUGUCAAGGUGCCAUUGAUACUGCGGAGCUUGAGUACAGAUGAGGUAGGCGGAAUUGACGGUGUAGCGGUGAAAUGCGUAGAGAUCGGGAGGAAUACCUGUGGCGAAGGCGGCCUACUGGGCCGGACCUGACGCUGAGACGCGAAGGCGUGGGGAGCGAACGGG
Molecule: ribosomal RNA, 253 nt
Filed under: uncultured bacterium
Lineage: Bacteria
Description: partial 16S ribosomal RNA
Rfam family: Bacterial small subunit ribosomal RNA
Source: RNAcentral